RNAcentral lists this ribosomal RNA (323 nucleotides) under Chlorogomphus soarer. RNAcentral describes it as "eukaryotic LSU rRNA". It matches the Rfam family "Eukaryotic large subunit ribosomal RNA", at positions 667 to 940 of the family's 3401-position model. Lineage: Eukaryota; Metazoa; Arthropoda; Insecta; Odonata; Chlorogomphidae. The record is from RNAcentral.
CAAGGAGUCUAACAUGCGCGCGAGUCGUUGGGUCGGACACGCUCCGCUAAACCCAUUGGCGCAAUGAAAGUGAAGGCCGCCUUUGCGGGGCCGAGGGAGGACGGGGUCGGUUCCCUUCGCGGGGACGGCUCCCGCACUCCCGGGGCGUCUGAUUCCUCAUCGCGAGGGAAGGCGCACCCAGAGCGCACACGUUGGGACCCGAAAGAUGGUGAACUAUGCCCGGCCAGGACGAAGUCAGGGGAAACCCUGAUGGAGGUCCGUAGCGAUUCUGACGUGCAAAUCGAUCGUCGGAGCUGGGUAUAGGGGCGAAAGACUAAUCGAAC